GAUGAAGAACGUAGCGAAAUGCGAUAAGUAAUGUGAAUUGCAUAAUUCAGUGAAUCAUCGAAUCUUUGAACGCACAUUGCGCCCGCCAGUAUUCUGGCGGGCAUGCCUGUUCGAGCGUCAUUACAACCCUCAGGCCCCCGGGCCUGGCGUUGGGGAUCGGCGGAAGCCCCCUGCGGGCACAACGCCGUCCCCCAAAUACAGUGGCGGUCCCGCCGCAGCUUCCAUUGCGUAGUAGCUAACACCUCGCAACUGGAGAGCGGCGCGGCCACGCCGUAAAACACCCAACUUCUGAAUGUUGACCUCGAAUCAGGUAGGAAUACCCGCUGAACUUAAGCAUAUCAAUAAGCGGAGGA
RNAcentral lists this unclassified non-coding RNA (353 nucleotides) under soil metagenome. Its description in RNAcentral is "partial contains 5.8S ribosomal RNA, internal transcribed spacer 2, and large subunit ribosomal RNA". The stretch from base 1 to 120 matches the Rfam family "5.8S ribosomal RNA", at positions 35 to 154 of the family's 154-position model. The record is from RNAcentral.